This 386-nucleotide ribosomal RNA is filed under the name uncultured Cryptomonadales. Its description in RNAcentral is "partial small subunit ribosomal RNA". It matches the Rfam family "Eukaryotic small subunit ribosomal RNA", at positions 30 to 432 of the family's 1831-position model. Lineage: Eukaryota; Cryptophyceae; Cryptomonadales. The record is from RNAcentral.
GCUUGUCUCAAAGAUUAAGCCAUGCAUGUCUUAGUGUAAAUAACUCUUAUGAAACUGCGAAUGGCUCAUUAAAUCAGUUAUCGUUUAUUUGAUGGUCCCUUACUACAUGGAUAACCGUAGUAAUUCUAGAGCUAAUACAUGCACAAAGGCCCGACUCACGAAGGGCUGUAUUUAUUAGAUUUAAAGCCGACAUCUUUUGGUGAUUCAUAAUAACUUUUCGAACCUCAUGCCUUUAUGGUGGAGGUGAUUCAUUCAAAUGUCUGCCUUAUCAACUGUCGAUGGUAGGUUACGCGCCUACCAUGGUUGCAACGGGUAACGGGGAAUCGGGGUUCGAUUCCGGAGAGGGAGCCUGAGAAACGGCUACCACAUCCAAGGAAGGCAGCAGG